RNAcentral lists this long non-coding RNA (764 nucleotides) under Equus asinus (donkey). Its description in RNAcentral is "lncRNA (ENSEASG00005030166.1)". The record is from RNAcentral. Lineage: Eukaryota; Metazoa; Chordata; Mammalia; Perissodactyla; Equidae.
CUUCUGUCCUUUAUACCCACCUGACAUUGUACAGUUUCCAAGGCAUGUCCACAUAUCUCAUUCCGUUUGAUCCUCAUCACCAUCUGUGAAGUAUGAACCGUUAUUCCUGUUUACAACAGAGGAAACCUAACCUCCGAGAAUUUAAGUGACUUGCUCAAGGUGACACAACUGACCAGGCGCAGGGAGGGACAGAGAUGAACCAGAUGAGUCCCCCCUCCUCUGGAGCUCUCAGUCAAGGUGGGAUGACCAUGUGCACACCAACCCCCCACUGACAUCCGCUCCAGGGGCUCCGCUGCAGCCUGAAUGCCGCCUCCUCAAAAAGACCCUCCCGGCUGCCCGCCUAGAGAAGCUGUACUCCGUUACUUCAGUCCAUGUCUUUGCAGUAAUCCCGGGAGGUCCGAAUUACUGUUCCCAUUUUUACGAUGAGCCUGUGAACACUCAGGAUGUGAGUUUUCCCGAGUGUAUCAGCCAUUAAAUGGCAGAACUCGAGCUCUGGUUCCCGUCUGCCCAGGCUGUCUCCCCUGGCUGAUGAGCGUUCCCGUGCCUGCAGGAGACAGGAAUGACGCCGUGGUGCCCACCUCAGAGGCCCGGGGGUAAGGAGAGAACUCCCCGUCACUCCUCUCUUGUCCACACUUGCGGCUGUCUCUGGAGACAGAGUUUCUGAUGUGGGGGAGGAGCCAGAGGGUGGGGACAGUGAGAAGAGCCUCGUGGAGGAGGGGAGGACAGGAAGAGACCCUGUAAAUUGUUUCUGGAUGCGACUUUCC